This is a non-coding RNA of Coturnix japonica (Japanese quail), 2251 nucleotides long. The record is from RefSeq and is a predicted model, not a curated record. NCBI's taxonomy places the organism in Eukaryota, Metazoa, Chordata, Aves, Galliformes, Phasianidae.
UAUCACUAUAUCGGUAGCAGCAGCACUCCCGGCUUUGGCAAAUCUGAGAGCAGAAAGCUACUGAUCCUUAAAGGCGUCUUUAAUAUAUCUGACAAACGAAAGAGUGGUUGGAUGGUUCAAGAGAAUAAGAACUACAGGUCACGUUGGAAGUGUGAUCCUUUAACACUGCACUGGGGCUUUAGGAAGAGUCAGUGAGAGCUCCCACGGCACCACAACCAACAAGCAGAUCCCUCCAACAUCCUUCAAUAGCUCCGGAGAUGGAAGACCACACCCCACCAAUUGACUUUAAUUUCUACUUCAACUUUCCUCCUCAUUCAUUAGGAGCUGAGCUUCACGCAGAUUACAGCUCCUGACAUGCAAACCCCGAUGAUGAUUUCAGGCGCUGUGUGCCAUACAAUCAAGUUCUGUGCGCUGAGAUGCGGCCACGGCAGAUCGAAACGAGAAGCCUGAAUGUCUGCUACCAGUGAGGGGUUACAUGGGGAGAGAGAUUCCCUUAUUUCUCCCUUAAGAUACCCACGGUUCACCCGCAGGCGACGCACACGUAUGAGAGCAGCUCUUAACAAAUGAAUCAGAAAGAAAGCGAAGCUCGGUGAUUGCCCAGAGCGAUAAGAGGGGCAGAGUGAGGAGGACACACAGCCACCCCUCGGAAACAGCAGCAACGCAAUCGCGUGUUCAUUGCUCAGCCAAAGGCAAUCAAAUCACCCUGCUCAGAUCGACGGCCUUCAAAUAAGGAAGUAGCGUGGAAAUAAUAAGUGUGACAGCUCUGGGGCUGCUUUCCCCACCCCCCAAAAAGAGAACGUGAAAGAACCCGGCCGGGGUUGGGCGGAGGGGAGCGGAGCAGCCCGUGUUCUCCCUCCAUCCUCGGCCGGGCUGUGCGCUGCCGGACACGAGUCACCGCGGUGCAAACAGCGCACACCGAGCUGACGGGCAGCACGGAGCGAUGCGGGCAGCGCAGCCCGCAGCCUGGCGGCGGCUGCACGGAGCAGCGGGAGCUGUCAGACGUUAGGAAACAAAGUUUGAGAGCUGAGCAGAGCGAUCCCCUCCGCCAACAGCGACCGCACGGACACAGCGGGACGGGACGGGACGCGGAUCUCCACACACACCGGAGCCGGGCAGCGCUAUAACACCGGAAAGAAAAACAACACUGACUCGUGUGUCAGCUGCUUUGCAAAUAGCUGCUGCUGACCAAGCAGGAUGCAGAGACCUUCCUUCAGACGGAGUGGAUGUAUGUCAGACAGCGAGUUGUGAUGAGAAAAACAGUUUAUGAAGACAUGAGCCAAGAACAACAGCUCGACAAAGGAGUCUGAACUUUCCCUGAUAGCUCUUUGGGGCGUAGAUAGUUAAGUUUCUUUAAGCAUUUGUAAGGGAAACAUGGCAUUCCUUCAAGCUGAACCUCCUCCCUUGGGUUCCCACUGGAUGCCUGAGAGAUGACAGUAUUGGGUGUCUCCAGAAGGCUAAUAUUAAACAUGAGGGAUUGGUGUGGAGAGAGCAAGCAGAGAGUGAGAUUCCAGUUUUGACCACAGAAUGAGCUCAGAACGUUUUGCAUCAGCAACUCUAUCCGGUUUCUUACUCGUUCCCUGUACCCAGCUCCUCCUGUUCAAAGGAUUCCUCUGUGCCCUCGCAUUAGUGGAUGCACCUGCCCUUUGUGUGCAAGCUUCUCCUAAAGGGUAAAUUUGCUUCAGACAAACAGAAAGUGCUGAGGCAGUGUAAUGUGAGUUGAAUUAACCUUGGAAGGAAGGGCAGCCCCAGCUCGUUUACCCAAUCGCUGUCCACAGCAGCACGAGCAAGGCUGACUGAGGAGCCGAUGGGUGAACUGUGUGGACACAUGGAAGAGAUACAGGAAGGAAAUGGAGAAUAAAUUGGGGCUUAAGCCAGCAUGCUGUUUCUAAUUCUGCAGCUGUGUGAAGAUGGGGAAGUGAUCUGGGCAGUCCAAGCAUGGCCCCAGCGGUGCAGCUCCUGGGAUGGAGCAGCAGCCACCGCACCCUUUCCUGUUCACCCUGUGGCCACACGCUGCCCUGUCAGCUCUUCUACAUCAGGCAGAGCCCUGCGGAAGGAUUGCUCGUGCAGAUGCAGAUGGCUCUGGCACCGAUGUAGCUGGCAGCAAGGGGGGGUGAGCGGCUCUAACGCUUACACUGCUGGUGUGCCAAGUCGAGUGCCCCCCGGUGGGACAUGGAGAUCUGGGAGCUGCUGAUGUUCAGCCUCGUCUCCUGUAAGAGGCAAUAUUUACUUACAUAAAAGGGUUUGAGCCGUG